UUGUAAACUGUGCUCUUUAUCUGCUCUCAGAUUUAGCUCUCGGAAAGGAAGUGGAAAAAUGAAAAAAAUGUUUUCUGUUGCUUUGCCCUCUGCCCAGUCAAGUAUGUCUUCUGUUGCUUUGCUCUC
This is a long non-coding RNA of Xiphophorus hellerii (green swordtail), 126 nucleotides long. RefSeq lists it as uncharacterized. The transcript is spliced from 4 exons. NCBI's taxonomy places the organism in Eukaryota, Metazoa, Chordata, Actinopteri, Cyprinodontiformes, Poeciliidae. The record is from RefSeq and is a predicted model, not a curated record.